CGGGUGCGAGGGGCACUGGCGACCCCACCUGAUUUGGGAUCAGGAGUCACCGCGUUCGACUCGCGGGUACCCGACCA
This 77-nucleotide transfer RNA is filed under the name Amycolatopsis sp. DG1A-15b. RNAcentral describes it as "tRNA-Pro". The record is from RNAcentral. Lineage: Bacteria; Bacillati; Actinomycetota; Actinomycetes; Pseudonocardiales; Pseudonocardiaceae. RNAcentral also lists the same sequence under 1 other name.